CCGGAACUGAUGCAUCAAAUAAUAUAAAACUGUCCUAAGCACUCCCUACCCCCCCAAACCGUCUACCAAACAUCUCUCAGAACUCAGACAUAAUGCCACCCUCCGCCGACCGCCGAAAAUCACCCACGGCGACGGCUGGCGGCCAAUCUUGCCCAAGUUUACACCAAGUCAUCUCCUCACUCCCCUCUUUCCAAAUCCCCGUUCACUUCCCCUCAAACCCGGCCUGAGCUCCUCAAAUAUCCAAUCGAAGCGUCGCCACAGUUUCUCCGGUUGCGGCGCCACCUCCAAAUGCACCUAAAAUAACACUCCAUGAGCUCCUUCCCUCCCUCAUUCCAAAUCCUCACUAAUUCUUCGAAUCCCCUCGAAUCUUAUCGAGUAUCGGAUCAAUGGUGAACCCUAAAAUCCAUUUCAGAUUCACCCUGAGGUUAGUCGAGUGUUGAGAUAAAAAUAACACCUAUUCAGUCUCAGAUUGAGUCAAGAUUUGAGAGUUUGAAGAUUCAUCGCUAUUGUCUGUCCGAUGCAUUUCUUUAGGUAUCUUUCUUUGUCUUUUGUUUUUCAGUUUCUUUUCUCUCCCACUGUUAUCUUAUGCUAUUUUCUUCUUUUCGUCCAUUUUAUCAAAAUCAUCUUUGCAUGUUUCUUCUCAGUUCAAUGUAAGAAUUAAUUGUUGUUUUCCCUUUUAGUUUAUUUGGAUUCGUCGUAUUAGUUUUAUUUUUUGUUUAAGCUGUGUGCUAUAUUGAGACCAUUUGGUCCAAAGAUUUCAAGGUCAACUGGACCCUUGGCCCGUCUAGUUGAUCUGCCCAUUUGAAUGUUUGAACUGGAUUCUUGGGGCCGAAGGGAGGGGGAAUCAACCCAAGUUUCAAAGGGAUUCACUGGGUCAAUAUGACCCAUGUAAUUUUCUGAAGGUAAUUUUCAGAGUCUUAGAGGGUAAUUUGGGGAAAUUGGGAGUAGGGAAUCUUUUGGUAACUACUUAGGAAGCUUCCUAGAAGCUGAAAAAUAGGUUUACUUGGCAAGCAAGUUAAUACUUUAGGGACCAAGUAGUAAAAAUAAAAAUUAAGAAAGGAUUGAAAGUGAAAAUCUGAUUCUUAGGGCUGCUCUAAGUGCCUUGCCUAUAAAGGUAUUCUUACUUGAGAAGAAAGGCAGAAAGGAAGAGAUAAAAUCUCAGAAAAAAAUCUCUGAAGGUUCUUGAAGCAACUACAGAUUUUGUUAGGAUUUUGGUUAUUCUGAAUGGUCCACUUAAAAUCUCUGUAGCUGUGACGGUUUUUUUUUCUGAUUCUGGAUUGAAGAUGAGUUGAGUUUUGGGUAUUUUUUAAAGAUGGUUUGGACUAUUGUAGGAAAAUACCGUGUCAUUGCUGAUUUGAGCUGAUUUCACUGUUCAGUUGGCUUUACUGGUGCUAAUUUCUGCUGCUACUUACUGCUACUAUUCUUAUUGCUGAACUUCACUCCUUUGUUUCCUUUAUUUCCAUGUAUUGUCCUUCCCUUGACAUAUGAAAUGAAGAAGCCGAGUGUUUGUUUGAAAUUGGAAAUACAGGAGCAUUAGUUUUCAGCACACGUUUUGUUUUCUACAUUUUUGGAAAUCAUCAAAUGUCCUAGUUAGUUUGGUUCUUAUUGUGAUUAAUGCAUUUCUGUUUCAGUUUGAGCUCAUUUGCAAUUUUAAACGAAAUCAUCUGCUUCAAAUUUUUAGUGAUUUGCAUGAAUCUUAAUGUUCAAAUUUGUAUAAAAGGACUCUAAAAGACUGUUAUAGUGUAAUGUAGGUCAGAAUGUUUAAGUUUUAGUGUUUGCUUACUAUCUGUUGAUUUCGACAUCAUUAGUAUGGGUUCUAUUUAAAGGGUGUAAUUUAGACUCUUAUUGUUUCUUAGAUUAACCUAUAGGAUUGACAUUUAUCAUUCACAUGUCUCAAGCAAAAUGCCUUAAAUAGCAUGAAACUGUAUGUUAAAAAUAGCUCUAAAAAAAUCUGAGUUAAGCAUUGUUACUUGGUGUUUGUUUAAUUCUGAGUUUCUAAAAGGCUUCUAUGUUCGUCCCUGUUGGAAUAGUUAAAUCAGGAGUUAAAUUAGAAAUUUAUGUGCAUGAUUCUUGGGACCAAUUUUAAUUCCAAUGCGCUUAUGUGAUGUUUGUGACCUUGCAGGGACUCGAUCUUUAGUCCCAACAUCAUUUACUCAUAUUUACAAGUUGGGUUUUCACUUGAGGCUUAGUUUAAGCCAUUAAAAUCAAUGAUUCCGCAUAAUGCAUAAGUGAUAAGCUCUUGAGCCCUAUCUUGAAAAUAUCCGGAAAUUGGAUUUUUGGCUAAAUGUCCCUUUCAAUUCAAUGUUUGCUAAUUAGUUAGUAGGUUCAGAAUUCUUUUAAAUAAGUAGAAGACCCCCAAUUUCCAUUUAGUUAGUCAUUUGUUUUUUUUUUUUAUAAAUGUAAAGUCGUGAGGUGUGCCAUAUUAAGCAAGAUAUAGUUAUGACCCUCAAAGUUUAGUUUGAGUUCUCGUUUAAAUUUGGAAUUGAGGUGCAACGUGCUAAAUAGAAUCCCAAAUGCGUGGCCCUCAUUUAACUAUUUCUUUAAAAUCAUUAGAAUUCGAGGCGCGUCAUUUAGCAAAUUUCCAUGGCCCCGCAAAGUUAAGAACGCGUAGUUGCUUUAGGCGCGUUAUUUUAAUAAUAUUACCUUCCUAAAUUCGGGUGCACAUUUCAUGUGACCCAAAUCCAAAUCUUAUAUCGUUAAAUAAAAUAUGUCUCGGACUGCGGCUGCAUUUCAUGUGGCGUGGUCCAAAGACGUGUUUUAGAUGACGUUAAAAUCUUCUUAAAAUUAAUUAAAGACGGUUAAUAAGUUUGAAAUUCACCAUAGAUAAAACAUGUAUUAAAAUAAUAUAAUAAGCCAAUUGUAAUAGUUUAAGCAACCGUGCUAGAACCACAGAAUCCGGGGGUGCCUAACACCUUUCCUCGGGUUAACAGAAUUUCUUAUCAAGAAAUUGCUGGUUCGUAGACUUCACAAGGAAAGUUGAAUUUUACUCGAUUUGAGAUUUAAAAUAAAUCGGUGACUUGGGACACCAAAAAAUAAACCUAUCCCAAGUGACGACUCUGAACAAAAGUAUAAAUAAGUAACCCCAUUUUGAAUAACGUCACUUAAAUUGGAAAAACUCCCUUAUACACUAUCCUUCGGGGUGGUGUAGUGAAAAAGGAGGUGUGACAUAUAUGGCGACUCUAUUGGGGAUCAUAACCUAGAACUUUGGUUCAGGGUUUAAGAAUUCGAUCUUAGAGUAGUUGUUAUGAUUGGCUUUAUUUAUUUGAUUUUCCUACAUGUUUGAGCCUAAUGCGCUAAAUGCUUUUACCGCUUUGAUAUUUGUGAACUGUAUAUAAACUGCUAUGAAACCCUUAUUCUCUCUGAGUCUUCUAAAUCAUCUGGGAAGUGUGCACUUCGUAUAACUUCUUUUCUGUUAGGGUAUUAUCACAAAUUUUAGAACGAGGUUCAGACAAGUUGCAAAGCUGGUGAAGCUUAUGUAUGCCUGGUACGCUGCCCCGCCCUCGGCUCGAGCUGUCCGAUCGGGUAAGCCAGGUCUAGUAAUCUAGGUCUAGAACAGUAAACUCAAGUUUUAAACCUAGUGUAACAAAACCUCAUACCAAAUCCCUAGUAGGAACAUUUGUUUGCAUCAAGUGCAUUUGACUUGGGAGACUCAACAUAGGGUUGGGUCUGUCUAGGACAGGUAAACCUACAAUGAAAAGACCAUCCUGAUGUAUCCUACCUACUAUUUGUGCAUUUAUUUGCUUCGAAUUUGCAUGUUGACCGGCAUGUGAAUAAUAAAAGAAAUUGGGAAAGAAAAUAACAGUGUGAGUGUUAAGAUAGAUAAUUAUCCGUUUUAAGAAAAACCAAUGUCCAAAAGGUACUGGAACUCUGUCGGAUUUUUGAAAAGAAAAUAAAAAAGAGGAAAACUUUGUUUUAAAAACUAGUUUUUUUUCUUAAAAAUUUGCCUGAACUACGCAAGUUUGAUUCUAACCGGAUAUGAGAUACGUAGGCAACCCCCGUUGGUCCAACUUUCCUUUUGCAAAAAUAGCCCAAAAACAACAAAAUUUAAUUUUUAUCACAAAUAAGCAGGGUGAUGUUAUUCUUGUCUAAAAUAAGCCGAAUGCCCCAAAAAUGGCGCUGGAAGGCUAAUUUUGCAAGAACAACCACCUUGGUCCUUUUUUAUUUUUAGCCAGUUAGCAGGAACAACCUUAAAAUCUUCUUUCCUGAAGUGCUGAAAGGCCACAUUUGCAAAACUGGGUUUUAUUUUUGAAUUAAAGUUUUGGAAAACGGUGUUACUUUUUUAUUAAAUCGCCUUAAUAAAUGUGCAGGAUGAUCACAAGUGAAAUUGAACCCUUUACAACCCUUAAAGAGAUCCCCUUACAGCUCCACAUGGGGUGGAAUGAUCUAGGAAAAGGCAGUAGAGAAACUAUGGUAAAGGUUUUGUGAGGUCUCGUCGGACUGUUGAACAUCAAGCCAAGGUUGGACGUAAUUGAAUCUUUAAUACCUUUUUGGGAUCUAACUCGCAAUGUGUUCCACUUUUCUAACUUUGAACUCACACCAACCCUAGAAGAAGUUGCGGUUCAUGCUAGUCUUAAUUGAAACCUUAGAAGUCGAUAUCCAGUGUCGCCAAGACCGGUAUCUCCCCAUAAAUUUUUGGACUUGCUGAGUAUUAGCCAAGAUAUUCAGAAUGGAUACUUAUCUUGAGGGGUAUUGCAAUUUCCAGUUUUUGUAUCAACCAACGGCAACCAUCAAGGUUUUGACACACAAAACACUGGUUUGACCGAUGCCGUAAUUAAAGACAAAUGGGGGGCAAGGCGGGAUUUGGCCUUUGCAGUAGCAUUCUUGGGUAUCAUAGUCUGUAUACGAGAAGGUGGUAAUAUAGAUAUGGGUCUCGUAGGAAUGGUCUAUGUUGUGAUCAAGAAAGCCAAUGGCACUGUGGUUCCCCUGAUCUUAUCUAAAAUCUACCGAGCCUUGACUAUCUGUCGGGAAGGGGGAAAGUUCUUCAAGGCUACAAUCUGUUACUACCACUGUAGAUACAUGAGCAUCUCUCUCAUCGGGUUGGGCAUGUGAAUUACGGCAUGACCGGUUUGAGUUGCAUUGAAGAAUUUAAAAGCCGAGUAGUGGGUAUUGAAAUCUUCGAGAGUACUGAAGCUUGGAUUGCACAUUUGAGCUCCUUGACCGUCGAUAAAAUUGAGUGGGCAUUUGGAUGACUUACUGUCACCGAAGUAGUGUACACGUCAGCUGAAGUGUGUUAUCUCCUCCUGAAGGGCAUCCGGAGCAUCCAACCAUAUGCUCCCAAUAGAGUUUUGCGCCAGUUGGGUAGAAUUCAAACCGUUCCUCACGACGAAGAUUUGAGUAAACAUGUCAUUGAGUUGGGGGCAAAAAGCAAUAUUUCCCGAGGGAAGAAUUUGCCAGGUGUGGAAUGAAUGUAGGUUUUUUGAACCUAAGACUAUGGUGUGAGAUCUAGCUAGAGGCAAAGUGGACCCAAGUACGUUGUCUGGUUCGGUAAAAGAUUCUAGAUUCCUAAAAGACCUGCUAAGAGAGCCCACAUUCAAAAAUUCACCGACGACUCACAAGAGCAAUGGGACUGGCUGCCAAAGGAAGAAAGCUACAGGGCUAGAAUAGGAAUGUUGGAAGGACAAAUUAGGGAUCUCAAAUUUGUCAAAAGUAUCCAAGCUGUCGGAGAUGAAAGGGAAAAGAAAAAUCCAACUCAGGAAAACGAAGCCCUCAAGGCUCAAAUCCAGAAAUUGAGAAUAGCAGCCAGAACCCGGAAAGAAGUCGAACAGACGAAAGGCUUAUAAGCAGUCUGAGGAAGAAGGCACUCGAGAGUCAAGAUGAUCUAGAAAAAUCUGAAGCCAAUCUAGCAAAAGUCCGUGCUCAAUUGGCAAAGAAUGCAAAGGGGAGGACACAGUUUGUGCAACAAAUGAAAAAAAGUAUGAAGGGGCAAUCACCAACCCGAGAAGAAAGUUAACCACCGUUGAGAAUGAGGAAGCUAAGGAAGCCAAGGACUUUAAAGCCGACAUGGAACAUUGUUAUUCUCUAAUGUCUCGGAUGGAGGAGGAAACACAAUAGUCGAAAACCAAAACCUUCAUGACGUUCAUGUACUAGAAGCAAGAAAUCAGCAAAUCGGGCAUCUACAUCAGGAAAAUGGUAGGAUUUGAGAAAGGAAUAGAGCUAUUGCCGGCUACAUUGUCGCAAAAUGCCAAGCAUGUGAGGAUAUAAUCUGAACCACCUUCUUCGGUGUAGUGAUGACAUUCGUCCGCCAGAUAAUGAGUGACUUGGAGCGGCGACAAGGGGAUCUCGCACAUAGGCCCGUGGCAAGGUUGAAUGAUGCCCUGCGGGCCCCGGGAGUUGAAGCUUUAAUGUUUUCAUGAUUUUUCAUUUAUCGACUAUAUAUUUUGGUCAGUUUGUAGUUUUCAUUCCAAGAAAUGAGUAGUUUGAAAUCUUUUGCAAUAGAAGUUUUAUUAAUGAAAAAUCAAAAAUUUCCAAAAAUUGUUUCUUUACUUUUGGCACUUAUCUUUCUUGAACUACAAAAUGAUCUGAUUCACGCGGUGUCGUUAUAUGUAGGAAAUUCUCGUUGGAUCCGGUCAUAAUUUUGUGAAUAACUCCAAUAAGAAAAAGAAAUGAGAGAAAAAAAAGAAUGAGAGAAGAAAAACAAGCAAAGAAACCAAAGAGGAAAAGAAAAAGAAAGAUGAAAAGGAAAGAACGGAAGUGGGAAGAGUGAAAUGGAAGGAAUAAGUAAAGCAGGGAUGAAGCAUGCAAUCACUGCAAAAUAUGUAGAAACACAUUUUACUGUAUAGGUGCAUCACACCCCUAACGUGCGAUUACCUUUGUGUUAUUUGUUUCAAACUAACUGUUUGCUGAUGUUACUCCAAACCCAGGUUUUUAUAGAAUGGUGGUUGGUUUUUGUGUAACCUAGCUUCGCCCAUACUUUACAAGACUGAAAGGGAGCAUCGAAAUGUCUUCAUAAAUGACUCUUCCAACCCUCAACCAAAGUGCUCCUCUUAUGGUCUUCGUGACAUAGCAUAUUGUCUGAUCUUCAGCAGGNNNNNNNNNNNNNNNNNNNNNNNNNNNNNNNNNNNNNNNNNNNNNNNNNNNNNNNNNNNNNNNNNNNNNNNNNNNNNNNNNNNNNNNNNNNNNNNNNNNNNNNNNNNNNNNNNNNNNNNNNNNNNNNNNNNNNNNNNNNNNNNNNNNNNNNNNNNNNNNNNNNNNNNNNNNNNNNNNNNNNNNNNNNNNNNNNNNNNNNNNNNNNNNNNNNNNNNNNNNNNNNNNNNNNNNNNNNNNNNNNNNNNNNNNNNNNNNNNNNNNNNNNNNNNNNNNNNNNNNNNNNNNNNNNNNNNNNNNNNNNNNNNNNNNNNNNNNNNNNNNNNNNNNNNNNNNUUGGCGUUAUUUUGACUGAGCUCUUGCUCACGCAUUUUUGCUCUACUUCAUUCUUGUUCAAUUCCUCUCGGUAAGUGAAGCUCCUCCACCCGCCGCCUUCAAUAAGCCCGCUUUCACAAAUUCCCGUCUUUAACCAGGGCAACAAAAGUGGAGCAUACGACACAAUUCCCAUCAUGGAUGAUAGUCCCAUCUCAGGCAUCCCAACUUCAGAAUCGGCACCUGCCGAAGAAAAUAGAAUCCUGCGUGUUCGGGUUAUGGAAAUGUGGGAUGCUUGGUAAAAUGAAAGAGAGCCGCCAAGCACAAUCCCAAGGUUCCCCGAACUUUUUCCUAGAGCAAGCGGUUCCUCCACCAUCCUUAUCAGUCACCCAAACACAACGCUAGUACACCCAACUAUCUAAGCUCAUUUUGUGGGAACACCUUCUGAGGUUCGGCCCCAACAAUGUCUAUGUACGUGCUUUCGAUGGUAUCAAAAGGCACACAAUUGGAGAGAUUGAUUUGAUUCUGACCAUCAGCCCAGUAACCUUCUAGGUUUUGGACAUGUACACCUCUUACAAAUUUCUUUUGGAGAGACCAUGGAUUCAUGCAACAGAGGCUGUACCUUCUACUAUUCACCAUAUGGUGAAGUUCGAGCAUGAGGAUCAAGAGAUUGUGGUCCACAGUGAAGAUGCACAAUUAAUAUAUCGGGACCUGUCAGUCCUAUGUCUUGAAGCAAGGGAGGGGAGUGAGCACAUAGUCUAUCAGGCCUUUGAAAAUAUGGUCGCAGAUCCGUGCGAAGAAGGAAAGCCUUGUCCCCAACCCUUCCUUUCAAAUACAUCAAUCAUGGUUAGUAAGGAAAUGAUCAGGCGUGGCUUCAAACCUUGGAAGGGGCUUGGAAAGUCAUUGCAAGGAAUAGCUGAACCUAUAACCCUGCCUGCCAGUGAAAAGUUCUUUGGGGUCAGCUUCAGACCCACACCAGCUGAUAUAAAGUGGGCGGAUGGUAGAAAGAAUGACAGAUGGGUCUUGCCGCAGCCAGUGCCGUAUCUAUGCAAAACAUUUAUCAAGCCCAAAUAUAGUGAAGAAGAAGAGGGUGAGGCUUUUACAACUGAAGUGAUUGAUGAGAUAUGUGGGGAAAUGAGGAAAAUAUUAUAUGAAACCCACAUGGUCCGGAUAGGGGAAGGACCAAGCACCGCUGAGGUGUUGUACAUAGGACUUGAGGCAAAACUGUAAAACCCGAAGGCUACGCCAUUCCCAAUCAGUCGGGAGUCACGUUAGACUUGUCUUGCCACCUUUUCUACAUCACGAGUUAUCCCAAAGUUUAAUUCAGAUGUUUUUCUUUAGUUUCAUGUCUUUUAGUUUCCAAUGUAAACCCUGUUAUCUUCCAAAUUCAAUGUAAUGAAAUCAACAUUUCAUCGUCCAUCUUUCUUUAUUUCUUCUGAUUUUUGUUAUUUUUCUUCUUCUUUCAGUCAUAAUAAUGCAGCUUUAAAUAACAUGACAUGCUUUCGGACUUCAUGCUCAGAUCCAAACACGCCGUCUAACUGUGAAAUAAUGAACCUAGAGCCGAAAUACAAUAAAGAAGAGGCUUUUAGGGAAAUAAAUCAAGAACUAGAACAUUGUGAGAAUAAACCUAAGCCGAACUUAGAUGACACUGAGCUGGUUAACUUGGUAGUUCUCAAGGAAUCAAGGAAACCAAAAUAAGCAUUCACACAGGUGAAAAAAGUCGGGAUGCAUUAAUCCAACUCCUGUUUGAGUUCAAAGACGUGUUUUCUUGGUCAUAUGAUGACAUGCCAGGACUGAGCGUCGAUUUGGUAUUCAUAAGUUGCCAACUUACCGUGAUUACCCCAUAUACAGCAAAAGCAAAGAAAAUUUAAAAUUGAUGUUAGUGACAAGAUCAAAGAAGAAGUCACAAAAUAGUUGAAAGCAGGGGUGAUCCGAGUGGUCCGGUAUACCAUAUGGCUAGCCAAUGUAGUCCCAUUGCCGAAGAAGAACAGGAAGACCUAAGUGUGUGUGGAUUACAAAGAUAUAAACAAGGCAAGUCCUAAAGAUAACUUCCCUCUGCCUAACAUCCACAUCCUUGUUGAUAACUGCGCCAAACAUGAGAUACAAGUGGAUUAUUACACAUGAUAUCACCAGGUGUUGAUGGAUGAAGAAGACGCAAAGAAAAUUGCCUUCACCACACCUUGGGGUACAUACUAUUAUAGACUCAUGCCAUUUGGUUUGAUGAAUGCUGAGGCGACAUAUAUGAGGGCCAUGACUGCCAUUUUCCAUGACACGAUGGACCAAGAAAUAGAGGUGUAUGUGGACGAUGUUAUCAUUAAGUCCAAAACCCAGGAUGACCAUGUUCGAGAUCUAAGGAUAUUCUUUGAGCGGUUGCGCAAAUAUGAUUUGAAGCUGAACCCAGCCAAAUGUGUGUUUGGAGUCCCAUCAGGCAAACUUCUAGGCUUUAUUGAGUUAGAUCCAAAAAAGAUAAAAUCUAUUCGAGAUUAGCUUCAUCCGAGAACCAAGAAAGAUGCGAUGAGCUUGUUGGGGGCAGAUUGAACUAUAUCAGCUGGUUUAUUGCUUAGUUGACAUCCACGUGUGAACCCAUACUCAAAUUGCUGAAGAAAGACGCGAAUCAAGUGGAUGGAUGAAUGUUAUGAAGCUUUUGAUAAAAUCAAAGAGUAUUUGUUCAAUCUACCAGUCUUGGUCCCACCUGAACUAGGGAGACCUUUGUUCUUGACCUGACAGUCUUGAAAAACUCUUUUGGCGGUGUCCUUGGGCAACAUGAUAUGAUUGGAAAGAUAGAGCAGGCAAUAUACUAAUUGAGCAAGAAGUUUACCAGCUAUGAAGCUAAGUAUACUUUGCUGGAGAGAACCUGUUGUACUUUAACUUGUCGCCCAGAAUUUGAGACAUUAUUUUCAAGCCUACACCACAUACCUCAUAACCAUGUUGGAUUCUUUGAAAUACAUAAUCCAGAAACCAAUGCCAACGGGAAGGCUAGCAAAGUGGCAGAUCCUGCUCACUGAAUUUGACAUAGUUUACAUCACUCGCACAUUAAUGAAAGCCCAAGCCUUGACAGAUCAUCUAGCUGAAAACCAGGUUGAUGAUGAAUACCAACCUUUGAACUCUUACUUCCCAGAUGAAGAGGUAAACUCAGUUGAGGCAAUAUCUGAGGAUGCUACUGCUUGGAAGAUGCUCUUUGAUGGAGCUGUAAACACAAAAGAUGUGGGAAUUGGGGUAGUCUUGAUCUCACCUACCGGCCAGCAUUACCCAGCCACAACCCGGCUUCGGUAUUUCUGCACAAACAACACUGCCGAGUAUGAAGCUUGCAUCAUGGGUAUGAACAUGGAACUCGACCAAGACGUCGAAGAGUUGUUGAUCAUGGGAGACUCAUAUCUGAUUAUCCGUCAAGCUCAGGGAGAAUAGAAAACCCGAGAUGUCAAACCCAUUCCUUACAAACAGCAUGUGGAAGACCUUAGCAAGAAAUUCAAGUCAAUAGAGCUCAGGUACAUCCCUCGUUGUCAUAAUGAAUUGGCUGAUGCAGUUGCUACCUUAGCGUCAAUACUGCCGUACCCAGGCUAUGCUCACAUAGACCCCUUGGAAAUCCAAAUCCAGGAAAGGCAUGGAUAUGGUAAUACAGUUGUAGAAGAACCAAGUACCCAGCCAUGGUACCAUGACAUCAAAAGAUUUCUGAAAAUGCAAGAAUACCCCGAGCAAGCUAGUGGGACAAAAAGAGAACCAUUAGACGACACACGAGUGGCUUCUAUUUGAGCGAUGAUGUCUUGUACAAAAGAACUCGUGACCUCAAUUUGUUAAGAUGUGUUGACACAGAAGAGGCUGGAAGAAUUGUGCAUGAAAUGCACACAUGAGUAUGCGGACCCCACAUGAAUGGGUAAGUUUUAGCAAAGAAAAUCUUUCGAGCGGGCUACUACUGGAUAACAGUGGAAAAAGACUGUUUCAACUUUGUCCGAAAGUGUCAUCAAUGUUAGGUACACAGUAAUUUGAUUCAUGCACCACCCAUAGAAGUGCAUCCCAUGUCAGUGCCUUGGCCAUUUGUUGCCUGGGGCAUGGACGUCACUGCGCUAAGCCUCAAAUGGGCACAGAUUCAUACUGGUCUCCAUUGACUACUUCACAAAAUGGGUUGAAGCCAUCACUCUCAAAUCUGCCACUAAGAAAGCUAUGGUAGAUUUCGUGCACUCCAAUUUUAUUUGUUGAUCUGGUAUUCCUGCAAUGUUCAUCACAGAUAAUGUUGCACACCUGAAUAGUCGUCUGAUGGAGGAGAUAUGCGAACAAUUCAAGAUAACGCAUAUGAACUCUACUCCCUAUCGUCUUAAAUCUAAUGGUGCUGUCGAAGCAGCAAAUAAGAACAUCAAGAAGAUUUUGAGAAAGAUGAUUCAGAGCUCCAGGCAGUAGCAUGAAAAGUUGCCUUUUGUCUUACUGGGAUAUCGCACCACGGUGUGCACAUUGAUAGGAGUGACACCAUACCUCUUGGUUUAUGGCACUAAGGCCAUGAUACCCAUAGAAGUUGAAAUCCUUUCUCCCCGAAUCAUCGUUGAAGAUGAAAUUGAUGAUAGUGAAUGGGUCAAGACCGGUCUGGAACAGUUGACACUGAUUUAUGAAAAGUGAAUGGCUGCAGUCUGCCAUGGGCAAUUAUAUCAACAAAGAAUGGCUUGUGCUUACAACAAGAAAGUGCAGCCCAGAAAUUUCGAAGUGGGGCAACUCGUGUUAAGGUGCAUUCUUCCCCAUCAUCAGGAAGCGAUAGGAAAAUUUUCUCCUAAUUGGAAAGGUCCUUAUAUCAUUAGAAAGAUAUUGCCAAGAGGGGCAUUGUACUUGGGAGAAGUUGAAUGAAAUGAUCCUGAAGUUGCUGUGAAUGCGGACAUAGUAAAAAGGUACUAUGUUUAGGCUUUUUACAGCAAUGGCAUUGUCUGAAUUGGAUGACGAAGGCUUUCAUUCCUACUACCCAAACACUAUAAACCUUUUGCAAACCCUUUGAGCCGGUUACUCUUCUUUGGCUACCCCCUUUGCAACCCGAAAGUGAUUGAAAAAAAAGAAUUAAAAAAAGAAGAAAAAUUAAAAGAAAAGAAAAGCAAAAGAAAAAGAGAGAGAGAAAAUAAAGCAAAACAGAAAAACAAAAGAAAAAACUAAAACAAUUUUUUUUCCUGAACUGUGUUCGACUUUAUUCCGAAAGGAUACAUAAGCAGCCUCUCUCUGGGUUUAGUCACAACGCAACAAAAAUCCAAUUUCCCCACAAGUGAAACUGGGUAGAUGAUAUAAUAGUUCGACGUUGAUCCCGCCGGACGGUUCCAAAGUUGUAAUGCGGUCCAAUUUUCUUUUUACCCAAACCUUUUCCAAGUCCUUCUGAUCGAUCGGCAAAAGGCGUCAUAAUUAUAGAACACAAUUUCUUGGAUUUGAUACAAUCAAAAUGAGAGAAAUAAAAUGAGAGAGUCUUAUUAGUGAAAACCUAUGGGUACCAUAACGCGACGACGAGCAGAGAAAUUGAAAAUGAGAGAGCCUGGUCAGUGAAAACUUGUAAAAAGCACUAUUAGGUGACGAUGAGAAGAGAAAUGAGAGAGGUCGACCGGCAAAAACCUGCACAGGGCGCCCUCGAUCGAAAAAAGAUACCUGUCACCACCAUUGGAGUCUUGGCAAGGAUUCUCGAUUUGGAAAUGUUGCUCACAAUGAGUUUAUGAGAAGUUGGAAAGUUGGGAAGGUCGGGCAUCCAGUCUUAGAAGCAUGUCAUGUCUAUUCAAGCCUGCAUGCACCCUAGAUAAGUCCUUCUUUCUUCCUCGAAAGGAACACUUCUCCAAAUUCAUUUUCUUGCCUCUUGUUUACCUUUCCUUUAAUCCCUUUCGGUCUAACUCCAUUAUCGAAACUAAUACAAAGAAAAGGUGGCAAGAUUGGUUUUACAGGGUUCUGCCUGACAAAAGCCAAAGAAGAUACCCAGCCUCAGCGGGCGUAUCAAGCCGAUCCGGACUGGCCAUGAUGGUUGAUGCUCUGGAAUCAAAGUUAUUGAAAAAGAAAAGAAAGCCAAAAGGCAAAAUCCCUAAAGCGACAUAAAGUGAAAGAACUAAAACCCCACGUGGGAGAGCCGUCAUGAAAUCUUGAGGAGUUGAGUUCCUCAGUUUGAAAGAAAUAUCAAACUUUAUAAAAUCCAGCAAGCAGCGGAUCUUCUCAACAAAGGGUUGGGCCGAGAUCAAAUGAUUGAGACAAUCAAGGCCACAAAACCAACCACCAUUUCAAACUAAUAAAUGUUCUUUGUUUGAAAUUGAAACAGGUACUGCCAAAGCAACCGUG
RNAcentral lists this long non-coding RNA (13608 nucleotides) under Nicotiana benthamiana. Its description in RNAcentral is "long non-coding RNA (NBEN_LNC025055)". Lineage: Eukaryota; Viridiplantae; Streptophyta; Magnoliopsida; Solanales; Solanaceae. The record is from RNAcentral.